CAUUAGUGUAUAUUAAAGUUGUUGCGGUUAAAAGCUCGUAGUUGGAUUUCUGUUGGGAAUGUCCGGUCCGGUCUUCGACUGUGUAUCAGGUACAGCCUCGGCAUCCUCGUAAUCUUUUUGUCAUUGAUUUGACAUUUGGGUCGCGACUUUUACUUUGAGGAAAUUAGAGUGUUCACGGCAGGCAAACGCCCUGAAUAUAUUAGCAUGGAAUAAUAAUAUAGGACCUUGGUACUAUUUUGUUGGUUUCUAGCACUAAGGUAAUGAUUAAUAGGGAUAAUUGGGGGCAUUCGUAUUAACGCGUCAGAGGUGGAAUUCUUGGAUUGCGUUACGACGAACUACUGCGAAAGCAUUUGCCAAGGAUGUUUUCAUUGAUCAAGAACGAAAGUUGGGGGAUCGAAGACGAUCAGAUACCAU
RNAcentral lists this ribosomal RNA (414 nucleotides) under uncultured eukaryote. RNAcentral describes it as "bacterial SSU rRNA". It matches the Rfam family "Eukaryotic small subunit ribosomal RNA", at positions 592 to 1018 of the family's 1831-position model. The record is from RNAcentral.